Molecule: ribosomal RNA, 309 nt
Filed under: Amblyomma integrum
Lineage: Eukaryota; Metazoa; Arthropoda; Arachnida; Ixodida; Ixodidae
Description: SSU rRNA
Rfam family: Eukaryotic small subunit ribosomal RNA
Source: RNAcentral
CAGCUCAUAGCGUAUACUAAAGCUGCUGCGGUUAAAAAGCUCGUAGUUGGAUCUCAGUUCCAGACGAGUAGUGCAUCUACCCGAUGCGACGGCUCGGACUGAACAUCAUGCCGGUCCUCUCUUGGUGCCCUUCAUUGGUGCGUCUCGAGGUGGCCCGCGCUUUUACUUUGAAAAAAUUAGAGUGCUCAACGCAGGCGAGUCGCCUGAAUAAACUUGCAUGGAAUAAUAGAACAAGAGCCCGUUUCUGUUCUGUUGGUUUUUGGAAUACGGGCUAAUGAUUAAGAGGGACAGACGGGGGCAUUUGUAUGG